UUAAAUUGAAGAGUUUGAUCAUGGCUCAGAUUGAACGCUGGCGGCAGGCCUAACACAUGCAAGUCGAACGGUAACAGGAAGCAGCUUGCUGCUUUGCUGACGAGUGGCGGACGGGUGAGUAAUGUCUGGGAAACUGCCUGAUGGAGGGGGAUAACUACUGGAAACGGUGGCUAAUACCGCAUAACGUCGCAAGACCAAAGAGGGGGACCUUCGGGCCUCUUGCCAUCAGAUGUGCCCAGAUGGGAUUAGCUUGUUGGUGAGGUAACGGCUCACCAAGGCGACGAUCCCUAGCUGGUCUGAGAGGAUGACCAGCCACACUGGAACUGAGACACGGUCCAGACUCCUACGGGAGGCAGCAGUGGGGAAUAUUGCACAAUGGGCGCAAGCCUGAUGCAGCCAUGCCGCGUGUAUGAAGAAGGCCUUCGGGUUGUAAAGUACUUUCAGCGGGGAGGAAGGUGUUGUGGUUAAUAACCGCAGCAAUUGACGUUACCCGCAGAAGAAGCACCGGCUAACUCCGUGCCAGCAGCCGCGGUAAUACGGAGGGUGCAAGCGUUAAUCGGAAUUACUGGGCGUAAAGCGCACGCAGGCGGUCUGUCAAGUCGGAUGUGAAAUCCCCGGGCUCAACCUGGGAACUGCAUUCGAAACUGGCAGGCUUGAGUCUUGUAGAGGGGGGUAGAAUUCCAGGUGUAGCGGUGAAAUGCGUAGAGAUCUGGAGGAAUACCGGUGGCGAAGGCGGCCCCCUGGACAAAGACUGACGCUCAGGUGCGAAAGCGUGGGGAGCAAACAGGAUUAGAUACCCUGGUAGUCCACGCCGUAAACGAUGUCUACUUGGAGGUUGUGCCCUUGAGGCGUGGCUUCCGGAGCUAACGCGUUAAGUAGACCGCCUGGGGAGUACGGCCGCAAGGUUAAAACUCAAAUGAAUUGACGGGGGCCCGCACAAGCGGUGGAGCAUGUGGUUUAAUUCGAUGCAACGCGAAGAACCUUACCUGGUCUUGACAUCCACGGAAGUUUUCAGAGAUGAGAAUGUGCCUUCGGGAACCGUGAGACAGGUGCUGCAUGGCUGUCGUCAGCUCGUGUUGUGAAAUGUUGGGUUAAGUCCCGCAACGAGCGCAACCCUUAUCCUUUGUUGCCAGCGAUUCGGUCGGGAACUCAAAGGAGACUGCCAGUGAUAAACUGGAGGAAGGUGGGGAUGACGUCAAGUCAUCAUGGCCCUUACGACCAGGGCUACACACGUGCUACAAUGGCGCAUACAAAGAGAAGCGACCUCGCGAGAGCAAGCGGACCUCAUAAAGUGCGUCGUAGUCCGGAUUGGAGUCUGCAACUCGACUCCAUGAAGUCGGAAUCGCUAGUAAUCGUGGAUCAGAAUGCCACGGUGAAUACGUUCCCGGGCCUUGUACACACCGCCCGUCACACCAUGGGAGUGGGUUGCAAAAGAAGUAGGUAGCUUAACCUUCGGGAGGGCGCUUACCACUUUGUGAUUCAUGACUGGGGUGAAGUCGUAACAAGGUAACCGUAGGGGAACCUGCGGUUGGAUCACCUCCUUACCUUAAAGAA
This 1554-nucleotide ribosomal RNA is filed under the name Salmonella enterica subsp. enterica serovar Montevideo str. CDC 2012K-1544. RNAcentral's name for it is "bacterial SSU rRNA". It matches the Rfam family "Bacterial small subunit ribosomal RNA". RNAcentral also lists the same sequence under 1 other name. Lineage: Bacteria; Pseudomonadati; Pseudomonadota; Gammaproteobacteria; Enterobacterales; Enterobacteriaceae. The record is from RNAcentral.